This 305-nucleotide ribosomal RNA is filed under the name uncultured bacterium. RNAcentral describes it as "bacterial SSU rRNA". It matches the Rfam family "Bacterial small subunit ribosomal RNA", at positions 338 to 660 of the family's 1533-position model. The record is from RNAcentral.
CCUACGGGGGGCAGCAGUAGGGAAUCUUUCACAAUGGGCGAAAGCCUGAUGGAGCAACGCCGCGUGCAGGAUGAAGGCCUCCGGGUUGUAAACUGCUUUUAUAAGCGAGAAAUAUGAUGGUAACUUAUGAAUAAGGAUCGGCUAACUACGUGCCAGCAGCCGCGGUCAUACGUAGGAUCCGAGCAUUAUCCGGAGUGACUGGGUGUAAAGGGUGCGUAGGUGGCAGGGCAAGUCAGAUGUGAAAGCCCGGGGCCCAACCCCGGUACUGCAUUUGAAACUGUCCGGCUGGAGUGCAGGAGAGGGAA